AAUCUGGGGUGGGAAAUUGUUUUGGGGUGGGAUACGGUUGGGUUGGGAAUUUGGGGUGGGAAAUUCUUUCAGGGUGGGAUCUUGUUGGGGUGGGAAUCUUGGGUGGGAAGUGGCUUUCGGGUGGGCUUCUGUCGGGGUGGGAAUUUUCUGGAAUCUUGCAUGGAAAUGUUGGGGGUGGGAUACUUUUAAGGUGGGAAAUUCUGGGUGGGAUUUUCGGGAUCAGACAUGAGUGUUAGGAUGGGGGAUAUUAGGUUGGGAAUAUUAGCAUACAAAACAAUGAGUAAGAGAAAUGACAAGUGAUUAAACGCUUUGUGUUCCCUUUGCUACACCUCUGCCUGCAGUCAUUUGUGCAGUGUCACAGCCCCCCAGCUCCCCAUGCCCACCUCCAGGGCAGGAUGGGGCAACACACAUGGCAGCAUCCCUCAGCUGCCACCACCAGCUGCAGCGGGAUGCAGAGGGCGUUGAAGACAGCUCGCCUGCGCUGCCUGUGCCGGUACUGUGAAUUGCUGUGGGGGUGGGCACCAGGCAGGGCACGGGAGGAUGGAGGGGGAAUCGCCUCAGGUCACUGUGGCCAGAAGGGACUCCAGGAGUGGCAGCAUGGGCAGUUCCCAUGGAGGGGGGAAGCAGGGGCAGCUGGGCCAGCUGGGCAGAUAUACAGAUACACCUAUAGAUACCUCACAUUCUGCCUCCACGUUCUUGGGUCCUGAGAGUUUGCUCUUCAGACACGGACUCAGCCAAGCCUGUACGUUCAGAGCAGGAUUUUCCAGUCCAUGGCACCUCCAUCCCAGGAUGUGCUCCAUCACGUACUUCUAGGACACGCACGUCUGGUGCUGCACAAAGGCCCCUGAAACUCAAGGCAGCCUGCCUGGCUUGGACUGCUCCCACGCGCCCCAGCACUGCCUCUAAAAUCUCACGGAACACAGACAGAUCUCUCAGACUCUGCCUGCAACCCAACAGCACAGACUGCGUCCCCUGUCUCGCUUUAUGCUGCCCUGUCAGAGGACAAAGAGCUGAGGGCACGGGCAGUGACAGGAGACACACAGAGCCUUCACACCAUGGCGCGCUGCCUGCCUUUCAUCAGCCACUCCCAGACCUUGCAGGAAGACAUCCCCUUGCCUGGACACAGGCCAGCCCAAAUUAAACUCUUUCUCCUCACUUUUCUCCUAACAGCCUAACUACAUCAAGGACACCUUAUCGAGACUAAUUGAUCUAAUCUAAGCUCCAGCCCUUAAGCCUUUUGCCAGAACCAGAAGGAGACAUUCCGCAGGGAAGCUACUCACUCCAGUGUCGCAGCUGUGUAUUAUUUGUGGGAUGACCUAGAGCCUCCUUCCCCAGAGCUGCAGCCUAGAAAUGGCUCACAUGCUUGCAGA
This 1370-nucleotide long non-coding RNA is filed under the name Numida meleagris (helmeted guineafowl). RNAcentral's name for it is "lncRNA (ENSNMEG00000012547.1)". Lineage: Eukaryota; Metazoa; Chordata; Aves; Galliformes; Numididae. The record is from RNAcentral.